Molecule: long non-coding RNA, 1924 nt
Filed under: Nicotiana benthamiana
Lineage: Eukaryota; Viridiplantae; Streptophyta; Magnoliopsida; Solanales; Solanaceae
Description: long non-coding RNA (NBEN_LNC007421)
Source: RNAcentral
CCUAGGAUUAGUACAACUUUUCAUCUCCUUUCACCACCGCCAGUCGCCACCGGAGAUCGCCAGCGGCGACGAUCGAUCUCCGAACCCCCUCGAAAUUUGACCCCAUAAUCGUUGUUGCCUUCCCACUCCAAAUCCAUCUCUAGUUUUCUCCAAAUGUCUCCCGAUAUUCAUGAAUUUCAAAUCUCGGACGACAAAAAAUUUGAGUUGGCUCCGUCUCCUCUGAUUUUCUCUGUAUUUCUACGAUAUUCGCUUCUUUUGAUACUAUCACAAGGGAUAAGCUGAUUGUUCAAUCAAAAUUCGAGGCGCCUCAUGGGAUCCAGUUUUAGUGAAGCAAUCUGUGCUCCAAGUUCUAGUUUGUCUCAUUUUCAAGAUAGGUGUCAAAGAUGGUGAUAUGGAGUAUUAGCCGUCAGAGAAAUUCCGGUUAAUGUUCGUAUUACAAUUCUCGCCGCUUGUCGGAUCCUCCUUAGUCGUUGAUUUCUUUGAAGUUGUCAAAUUUUCUGUUGGAACCUAGUACAUUUUUUUCUCUUUACUGUAACUUUCAAUCUUUUCUUCUUUUGUUGUUUGCUAUCUUGUUUUCAAACGUUAAUUCUGGUGUGAUAAAUCAGCAUCGAUAGCUUACUAGAUUCAUUAUUUGUUAAUGUUGAGUUCUGUUUCUUGUUUCGUUUGAUUUAAAGGUGUCUUUGUUAAUAGCUUCAAUGGUAUUGUAGUUCUUGUCAUCCUUUACUAAUUCAUGAAAUGGCACUAGUUUUGUUUUUAUUUUGUGUAUUAAUCAUGUUUGGGCUUUAUAAAAGGGGAUCCCAAAGCGGGGUAUGGAAUUCUGGUAGCCCAAAUGGUCGGGAAUUCUGGUAGCCCAAAUGGUUUGGGCCUGUGUGUGCCUCACUUGAGCCCAUAUCUAUUUUUCGAGGGAGGGUAAAUAGUGAUGGCUAUGGCAGGUGAUUUGGGUAGUCUAGGUGGGGAAUAUUUUGUAACUAGCUUGGAAGUUUCUAGCAGGGAUCUGAUAGUAUAUUUCAGGGUAUAACUUGGGAAACAAGUCACAAAAUGGGGGAUUAAAAAAAUGAAAACCAAAAUUUGAAAGGUACCAUAAGGACUUGCCUAUAAAGGUAUUGUAAAGAGGGGCUGCACAAGGGUAAUGCUUUAUAAAGAGGAGAAUUCCAGAAGGGGGUGAUUAGCACUAGAUCUCACCAAGUAAUUUCGAAAAGGGACACAGCCUUACUGUUCCAUUAACUUCUUUUUCUUGUAAUUUUAAAAAAUUCAUCCUGGUCGAAGUAAUCUGGGUUGCAAUUUGAGGGUUGGAGGUGGUUUGAACUUGGCUUCACUUGGGUUUGAAGUUUGGAAGUCAAGCUCUUGGUUUAGUUUCAUUACGGGUUGUAUGAAGCUAAUUUCCUGCUACUAUUGUUGCUGAGACUACUGAACUUUGUUUUCCUUGCUGUUAUUGUGGAAUUUCUAGGUACAUGCUUCCUUUCACUUAAUGUAAUGCUUGGAAGCAAAAUGGAUUUAUGGAAUUCUGAAUGUUGGUGGUGUCUCGUUUGUACAUUCCUGUUGCAAUUAGAUAGUCCUAUUUAUCAUCCUCUACCCCUGAAUAUGCGACUAAGAGAUUGAUGUUCGGGAUGUUUCAGAUUACAUAUGAAUUUGUUGAAUAUGGCUCGAUCAUGAUCUUUUGGAUUUGGUGAGUGUAUACUGGACUAAUUUCCUGCUACUGCUGUUGCUGAGACUACUGACCUUUGUUUUCCUUGUUGUUGUUGUGGCAUUUCCAGCUACAUGCUUCCUUUCACUUAAUGUAAAGCUUGGAAACAAAAUGGAUUUAUGGAAUUCUGAAUGUUGGUGGUGUCUUGUUUAUACAUUCUUGUUGCAAUCAGAUAGUUCUAUUUAUCAUCCUCUACCCCUGAAUAUGCGACUAAGAGAUUGAUGUUCGAGAUGUUUUAGA